GCUCCUAAAGGAUAACAGCUCAUCCGUGGUCUAGGCAUCCAAAACUUGGUGCAAUCCAAGUAGUAGCU
Molecule: transfer RNA, 68 nt
Filed under: Jaydia lineata (Indian perch)
Lineage: Eukaryota; Metazoa; Chordata; Actinopteri; Kurtiformes; Apogonidae
Also listed under: 1 other name
Description: tRNA-Leu
Source: RNAcentral